RNAcentral lists this ribosomal RNA (1518 nucleotides) under Triticum aestivum (bread wheat). RNAcentral describes it as "partial small subunit ribosomal RNA". The record is from RNAcentral. Lineage: Eukaryota; Viridiplantae; Streptophyta; Magnoliopsida; Poales; Poaceae.
AUGGCGGCAAUGGCGGAGGGGGCGGGGGAGCCGGAGCUGGUGUCGAUCCCCGUGACGCCGCGGGGUCUGUCCACGCCGGAGGGGAUGUCCACGCCGCCGGUUAGGAGGGGAGGGGCAGCGACGAGCGGCGCCGGGACGCCGGUGCGCCGGGUGGUGGAGGGCCUGCGCGGCUACCUGGAGGAGGUGGGCCACCUCACGCGCCUCAACCCGCAGGACGCCUGGCUCCCCAUCACCGAGAGCCGCAGCGGCAACGCCAGCUACGCUGCAUUCCACUCCCUCAACGCCGGCCUUGGGUUCCAGGCGCUCCUCCUCCCACUCGCCUUCCCCGCCCUCGGAUGGAGCUGGGGAAUAAUAUCAUUGACUGGUGCUUACUUCUGGCAACUGUACACACUCUCCAUUCUAGUCAAGCUUCACGAAGCAGUCCCGGGCAGGAGGUACAACAGAUAUGUGGAGCUUGCACAAGCUGCAUUUGGAGAAAAACUGGGGGUGUGGCUAGCUCUUUUCCCAACUAUUUAUCUUUCGGCAGGCACUGCAACUGCAUUGAUCCUUGUCGGAGGGGAGACUAUGAAGCUCUUUUACCAAAUAGUGUGCGGCCCCCUUUGUACACCGAGCCCUAUUUCGACGGUGGAGUGGUACUUGGUAUUCACAUCCUUGGCAGUCAUUCUUUCCCAGCUCCCAAAUCUCAACUCGAUUGCUGGGCUUUCGCUUAUCGGUGGCGCCACAGCGAUAAUGUACUGCACCAUGUCAUGGGUUCUCUCUGUGAGCCAGCAACGGCCGGCAGCAGUCUCUUAUGAACAAGUGAGAUCCACUUCUUUUGGCUCAUCACUGUUCUCUACCUUGAAUGCUCUUGGGAUAAUAGCCUUUGCAUUCAGGGGACACAAUCUUUCAUUAGAAAUACAGGCGACGAUGCCGUCGACUUUCAAACACCCUGCACAUGUGCCUAUGUGGCGCGGGGCCAAAGCGGCUUAUCUUCUGAUUGCGAUGUGCAUCUUCCCUGUUGCCAUUGGGGGUUACUGGGCCUACGGGAACAUGAUGCCACCAGGAGGGAUCCUGACCGCCCUCUACAUCUUCCACGGCCACGACAUCUCUCGUGGGCUCCUCGCGGCGACGUUCCUCCUCGUCGUGUUCAACUGCCUUAGCAGCUUCCAGAUAUACUCCAUGCCAGUGUUCGACAGCUUCGAGGCCUUCUACACAGGUCGCACCAACCGGCCCUGCUCAGUCUGGGUCCGGUCCGGAUUCAGGAUCUUCUACGGGUUCAUCUCGCUCUUCAUCGGCAUCGCUCUGCCGUUCCUCUCCAGCCUCGCCGGCCUUCUGGGCGGCCUAACGCUGCCGGUGACGUUUGCCUACCCGUGCUUCAUGUGGAUCUGCAUCAAGAAGCCUGAGAGGUUCAGCUACAGCUGGUACGUGAACUGGGGCCUCGCCCUGCUCGGCACCGCCUUCAGCUUGGCCUCCUCUGUGGGUGGUGUCUGGAGCAUCAUUAACACUGGGAUGAAGCUCAAGUUCUUCAAGCCCAACUAG